RNAcentral lists this ribosomal RNA (434 nucleotides) under uncultured bacterium. RNAcentral's name for it is "bacterial SSU rRNA". It matches the Rfam family "Bacterial small subunit ribosomal RNA", at positions 61 to 493 of the family's 1533-position model. The record is from RNAcentral.
GUCGAACGAAGCACUUUAUUUGAUUUCCUUCGGGACUGAUUAUUUUGUGACUGAGUGGCGGACGGGUGAGUAACGCGUGGGUAACCUGCCUUGUACAGGGGGAUAACAGUUGGAAACGGCUGCUAAUACCGCAUAAGCGCACAGCAUCGCAUGAUGCAGUGUGAAAAACUCCGGUGGUAUAAGAUGGACCCGCGUUGGAUUAGCUAGUUGGUGAGGUAACGGCCCACCAAGGCGACGAUCCAUAGCCGACCUGAGAGGGUGACCGGCCACAUUGGGACUGAGACACGGCCCAAACUCCUACGGGAGGCAGCAGUGGGGAAUAUUGCACAAUGGGCGAAAGCCUGAUGCAGCGACGCCGCGUGAGCGAAGAAGUAUUUCGGUAUGUAAAGCUCUAUCAGCAGGGAAGAUAAUGACGGUACCUGACUAAGAAGCAC